UAAAAUACUCUGUUCGUGUUAUUGCAGAAGGACUUUGUUGUGUGUCGCCUUGAAAAUACUUUGUUGUUUCCACUAAGAGAAAACGGGAGAAGAAGACGCUUGGUGUUGUUUCCACUAAGAGAAAACGGGAGAAGAAGCUUGGUGUUUCCACCAGCGAUGGUGAUCAAUCUUGUCAAAAUUUGACUUCUAAAAGAAGUCACGUUGCAGAAGAUACUAAUAGAAAUCAUGUUGCAGAAAAAGUAGAUUUGGUUUCUACUAGAAAUUAUGUUGCAGAAAAUAUUGGUUUGGUCCCUGAACCUCAGGGAAGGGACCAUUCGAUUUCUUGUUACAGAAAUCAUGUUGCAGAAAAAAUCGUCGAAGAUUCUGUUGAGGCAGAAACUCGACGGCUUGCAGAACUCAAUCGACGGGGUGAUGGCUAUGAUGGACGGAAUGACGCCUCUGUCUGGGCUCUGCAGUCAUCAGAUUAUCCAGAACAGGAAUCAUCAGAUUAUAGUGGUUCUAGUUGUGGUAGCGGUUUAUUGAAUUCUCAAUUGGACGGUGGGCAGGUCGGUGGCCAGUUCAAUUCAAGGAGGGAUAUUCAGACUGAAUACUCUCCUGAGGAAACUGGAGAGACCACUCCUGACUUCUUGACAUCGAAGUCAGAUGAAGGAGUUUACGUGGAGGAUGGCAGUGACGCGAACCCUGAAACCGAAUCCUUCAAUGAAUGGGUAAACAUGGUCUUUGACUAUCAAAUCCUCAAGGAGUAUAUUAGAUCAUUAUGAAUGUUAUAAUAUUGCUUCAGUUAUGGUGUAUUGUAUUCCAGGCUCUGUAUUCUUUGAGAGUAGUUUUUACACCCAAGAGGUUGUUAACUGAAUGUUGCUGUCCAGUAUGCAUAGAUUUUGUAAUGUUAUUGCCCAAUCGUUAACUGAAUCAGCUUUACAGAAAUGAAACUGUUGUUUUGGGCUUGUACCUUUCGCGACUGAUAUACCUAUUUUCUUCUUUGAAUUGAAAGUGGUUUUAUUCUCAGGGAAAAAAAAAAAGAUUGUAUUUUUUACAUAUCGGGAAUAUUAGAUAAACAUUCAGUCUUGCUCAUCAAAGAAAUUUACUGAUUAACUGAAAUAUCAAACAAAAGAUCCAUAAUCCAUUGAUAUAUGAUGUUAAAAAUUCUUGUGAUGGGAACCAUUUCAUUCAUGUAUGUAUGACACCUUUUUGUUGGCUUCUCAAACAAUCUCCGAGCAUCCUUGUAAAUAAUACGAAGAUGUUAGUCAAGCAGUUCAUUGUGGCUUUGAAGCUUAAAUUAACAAUCUCCGAGCAUCCUUGUAAAUAAUACAAAGAUGUUAGUCAAGCAGUUCAUUGUGGCUUUGAAGCUUAAAUAAUUUUCACAUAUUGAAAAGCAAAAAACGAGAGAUAAACUGAACCCCAUCCCAGAUGACUGAAGUUGCUCCUUCAGAAAGGUGACUUAUUUACUUUAAAGAAUCAAGUAAUAAAGCAGAAACAAGAGAUAAAAAUGCGCAGAGCACUGCUUAUUUCAAUUUAUUGGAAUACAACUACAGCUACUCUGCGCUCCUCAUAAUCUUCUUCCAAUGGUCUACAUGGAUUUAAUAGAAAGCUAGUGAAAUGAUUUUGAAGAUAAAAUUGGUCAUUCCAGAUUUAUUAAAAUUGAUUCUGAAAACACAUUUCUGAAAGAACAUUUUUGAAAACACAUUUCUGAAAAUACAUAUUUUAAAAAGUGCUGACUAAUAUCCAAAGAAAUAUUUUUUUCAAUGGUAAAAUAUAGAGUUGGUAAAAUUUGACACGAUCCGAUUACCUGAUACGAACACGACAUAAAUAAAUGGGUAUGAGUCGUCAAAUUUAACACGAUUAUUAAAUAGGUCGGGUUCGGGUCAACAUGAUUUUUUUCCGUGUCGGGUUUGGGUUAGGGUUAAAAUUCUUGACCCAUUUACCCGAUAAUGACUCGAUUAUAUUUUCUAUUUUAAAAUAAUUUAUAUAUUCUUAUAAUUAAAACUCAAAUAUUAGAGAUGAUUUUCUUUUUUUUAUUCUUUAGAAGGGUGAAUAUAAACACAGUGUUUUAUUUAUAAAAUUUUACAUACAUUUAGAGCUUCAAUAGUGUAAAUGUGUAAAAAUUGAUAGACAUGUAUAUUUUAUAAUAUUGAUAUAUAAUAUUUUAUAUAUAUAUAAUUAAAACCUCAAUAGUGUAAAUGUGUAAUAUAUUGGUAGAUAUAUAUAUUUUAUAAUAUCGAUAAAUUAUGUAUGUAUGUAUGUAUGUAUUUAUGUACAUACGUAUGUAUGAUAGUGUGUAAAUAUUUUAUGUAACUUUUGUUCAAUAUAUAGAUAUUAAACAGGUUAUUGGGUAACCCGAUGAUUUUUCCGUGUCGGGUUUGAGUCUCAAUAUUUUGACACGAUUAUUAAAUGGGUCGGGUUUGGGUCGACCUAAAUUUGACACGACACGAACACGAUCCGAUGACCCGUUUUGCUAGCUCUAGUAAAAUAUAAAUACCAAGCCAACAAAAUCGUAUUCUAAAAUAGAUUUUUAGAAAGGAUAAAUGCUCAUUUAGUCCAUAUAUUUUAAUAUUAGUGCCCAUAAUUUUAAAAAUAAUUCAAAACAUCUCUGUUGUUAAACUAUUGAUAUCUCUGCCGUUACAUUCCAUUCAUUUUAACUUACUUUUAUAAUAUUACCCUCUUAAAAUAUUUUUUUUGGAUAUUAAUAAAAAAAUUAAAUUACCAAUUGAACUCUAAAAAUAAAAUAAAAUAAAAACAAAAAGAAUAUUUAAUAUUUUUUUUGGAAGCUCACCUAUGUCCAAAAAAAUUAGUCUUGUAAAAAAAAUCAAAUUACCAAUUUUUUGAACAUUAAUAAAAAAAUUAUAUAUUAACUCUUCAGUAAUAUAUUUCACUAAAAUUAAUAUAUAAUAUUUUUAUUUUAUUUUUGGGUUAAAUUGGUUUAAUUUUUUCUUUUUAUUAAUGUCUAAAAAAUUACUGAAAGAGGAUAAUAUUAUAAAAUUAAACUAAAAAAUAAAAAAAUAAAAAAAUAAUGAUAGAAUAUCAAUAAUUUAAUGGUAAAGAUGUUUUAAAAUUUUUUUAAAUAUAUAAAAAUUUAAAAAUACUAACUUCAAAGUAUAGAGAUUAAAUAAAUUUUUUAACCUUUUAAAAAUCAGUCGAUAUCUCCCCUAAUUGAAUGAUUUCAAAAGAGAUAUUUAGAAAUCAGUCAAGACCACUACCAAUUGAAUGAUGUUAACCUCUCUGCUUGAGGCGGAUUCUGGUAUGAGAUGAGUCAUCUGCCUCAUUUUGCUACAUCAAAUUAAAUGUCCCUCGAGUCAUAUGCUGACGUGAAUUAUUAACAACUUGUGAAAGAAGUAGAAGCUUCUAGGCUCUAGCAUUAUGUCCUUUGUUGAUGUCACUCUAAUGCCUAAAGGUUAUGCUUGUUUUGGAGUGGUAGAUGGAUUUUAAUAGUGGUAUGUCAAAUUUCCAAUGACCUAAGAUGAGGAUUUUGUGUGAGAAUUUUCUAGUGAUUUUUUGUGUUUUUGUUGAUUUUUUAUGAUUUUAUUUUUUUUUUAGUAUUUUGUUAGUUCAUUAAAUUCAUAGAUAUUUACUUUUGAAUUUUUUCAUAGAUAUUUACUUUUGAGUUCUUCUAUUAUGAUCCGGUGAUAAUAUUGUGUUUGAAUGGUAAGUUUGACAUAAUUAUUUAAUGGGUCAUAUCCUUGUUAAUUAAGGAUGACAAAAUUCAGAUGGCUAUAAUUAUUAGCCAUCUAUGUGUAAAUACAUAAUUAUCCAAUAUGAAUAUGGAUAUUCAAGGGUGGACAUGGAUAUUUAAUUUUUAUUAUAAAUCACUAUGUAUUUUAUAAUAUGAAAAACUAAUUAAUGUGUUUUACAUAAAAAAAUCUUAUUUUUUAUUUAAUUUCCUAAAAUGAUUAAUAUUAAAAGGUAAUUAAAAUUAUUUUCAAUAUAGAAACAAAAUAAUAAAACAAAAUUAUUACUCUUAUUUUUAAUUACCAAAAAAUAAAUAUUUAAAUUAUUUUCAAAUAGAGUAAUUGUUAAGAUUUAUUCUUUUUAUUUGAGGACAAAAACUCAACUAAAAGUACAAAAUUCUUGUUCAAAUGAACAGAAUGAUUUUACGAAUUGAUAAACUAACACUUUAUUAUUAGUAGUAAAUUAAUAUAUUUUUCUACAUAAUCAAAUAAUUAAUAGUAUGUGAAAUAAAUAUUAUGUUACAAGAAAAUAAUAAAACAUUAAUCAUAAAUUAGAACCUGUCUACGGUGCAACUCUGUGACUAAGGGUAUCUCCAAUACUUAAUACUAUUUUGGUGUAACACCAACACAAAAAAUGUACAUUUUUCACACCAAAUUACUAUUUCAUCUCCAACCUAUUUACACCAAAUUUUACACUAAAAAGAAUAUUUUCUUUUUAUUCUUUUAAUUCUCAAGAAUUAAUUUAAUUAACACAAUAAAUAUUACUAUUAAUAUAGAUAAUUAAGUAAUAAGUAAUUUAUAUCGAUUAACAAAAAAAUAUAUAGAAGAUUAUUAAAUUUGUAUUUAAUUAACUAAAUUAGUACAUUAUGAAAAUUAAACAAUACAUUAAUAUAGAAAAAUACAAUAACAAUAAUAAUACUUUAGUUAUUCGAAUUACUAAAUUUAUCCAUAAAUGAUCAAUUAGUGGAUUUCAGAGUGCAAUGUGAGCCUCUUUAUCCUUGAUUUGUUUGUGUCGAGCAAGAAAUUCUUGAAAUCUAAUAUUCUCAUCUACCCUUAUAGCAACGGUUGGUAUUGGCGCUUGCAUCCAAUCAUUAAUUGUUGCAUUAACAUCACGUUCAUCUUCGAUUAUCAUAUUGUGUAUAAUAAUGCAAACAAUCAUUAUAUCAUGUAACUCAUGUUUGAUCCAAAAACGUGAUGGUCCAGCAACAAUUGCAAAACGUGAUUGAAGGACUUCAAAUGCUCGUUUUACAUCUUUCUGAUAUGCUUCUUAUUUCAUGUCAAAUAAUUUCUUUGUAGGACCACGUAGAUCAUGGAUAGUUUGUACAAGAGUAGACCAUUUUGGGUAGAUAGCAUCAGCUAAAUAAUAACUCAUAUUAUAUUCGUUCCCUUUAAUGACAUAAUGAGCUGGAGGAGUAAUACAUGAAGCGAGAUUGGCAAAAAGAUGGGAUGCCUCCAAUAAAUUAAUGUCAUUAUUUGAACCAGGCAAACCAAAAUGUGCAUGCCAUAUCCAAAUAUCAUAAUCAACUACAGCCUCCAGAAUAAUAGUUGGGGUUCCACUACGACCAACAUAUUGUCCGGCCCAAGCUGUUGGAUAAUUUUUCUACUUCCACUGCAUGUAAUCAAGGCUGCCUAACAUUCCUAAAAAACCACACUCUUUACGAACAUGGAGUAGCCUGGCGGCGUCAUUAGUGUUGGGUGAUCUAAGAUAUUGCUCUACAAAAACUUCCACAAUUGUACGACAGAAUCUCUUUAAACUUUCAAUUGUUGUAGACUCUCCAAUUUUAAUAUACUCAUCACUAGCAUCUAUUGGCCUGCCAUAUGCCAACAUCCGAAAUACAACAAUGAUUUUUUGAAGACCAGAUAACCUAAGUCUGUCGACGCCAUCCCUUCGCUGCAUAAAAUAGUUGUCAUGACCUUGCACGGCAUUAGUAAUACGAUUGAAUAAACUUCGAGACAUUCUAAAUCGACGGCAAAACAUUGAAUCAUUGAAACGUGGGUUCUUUGAGAAGUAGUCGUUGACCAGAUUACGAUUAGCCAUUUCACGAUCGCGGUUGAUUAUUAAAUGACCUGUAACUGAACCAUUAUGGAUCACUUUGUUGUUUAGUUGAUUGAGAUAGUAAACCAUGCAAAUAUUGUUGUUUGAAGUCAUGCUAAUUAUCGCUUCUUCAUGUACAUUGAUCGCCUCAAUAUCAUUUUAAUAGGUUUACAUCAUCAUCAUUUUCAACAUCAGAAUUUGAAGAAGAUGAAGAAUAUGAUAAGUGCUGAGAUGAACUUCCAAUAUUGAAAUUCAUUUUCAAAGAUAUGUAAAUUGAAUGAGCUUUAGUACACAUAAGUAUAUCAUUUUUAUGAUAGAUUUACUUUUACCCAAUCUUAUUAUAUCUACACAUAAUUCAAAAUUUAAAGAUAAUGAUUCUCUCAUAUUCAAUACCAACCCUUGGAUGGAUUUCACUUAUUUUCAUCAAUUAGAUUUAUUUUUACCCAAUUUUAUCAUAUCUACACAUUAUUCAAAAUUUAAAGAUAAUGAUUCUCUCAUAUUCAAUACCAACUGUUGGAUGGAUUUAACUUAUUUUCAUCUAUUAGAUAUGUUUCUUUUUCAUCUAUAAGUACCAUUGUAAACUUCACUUCACUCAAACAUAUCUCUUCAACCAUUUAUUCUAUAAAAUGGCUCUAACUCCAAGAAGUACUUCAUACACCCAUGAAGAAGAUAUACACUUAUGUCAUAUAUAUCUUGAUAUUUCCCAAAACCCUAUUGUUGGUAUAAAUCAAUCUCGAGAUGCAUUUUGGUCUCGAGUUGAAAUUGAAUACAAUAAUUCUAAACUGGAGUUCACCACUCAAGUUCGACCAAGAAGAUCUUUGCAAAAACAAAUGCAAAGUAUUCUAGCUGCAAUUGGCAAACUGAGGGGAUGCGUUCAACAAAUUGAAAAUCAAAAUCCAAGCGGUGCUUCCGAACAAGAUAUUGUAAACUUAUAUUACAUCUUUACUAAUUUUAUCUUACACUUAUUUUAUAUAUAACAUUCUAAUUACAUUAUUUUGUAGCUAAAUCGAGCGAAUGUGUUACUGGCACAAGAUAAGAAAUACAAUAAAGGGUUCAAAUUUGAUCAUGUAUGACCUAUCCUUAAAGAUAUUGAAAAAUUUGGAGAUAAUCAUAGCAUCGCAACACCAUACUUUCGAAGGCAAAGUAGCGAAUUUGUGUCAUCACAAUCAGAUUCUCCCGCUCCGGAGUCUCCAACAUCAGCAUCUAUUGGUCUAUCAUCAUUUUCACUAAAUAUAAAUGAUGAGCAUGUUGACGAUUGUUCUACUCAACGACCCAUUGGAGUAAAGAAGGCAAAAGGAAAACGGAAAGUUGAAGAUCAAAAUUCACUAGUUAUUGAUACUAUUAAAGAAGACAAUCGACGACUUUAUGAAAUUCUUAAAAAAGGCAGUGAAGAUAGGCAAUAAAAUUAUUAAAUUCAAAUGAUAGGAGCCCAAAAUGAGAAAAAAAAUUGGAGAUGGUCACAUAUCGUGAAGAAAAUAAAAUUUUACUUAAAGAUUUAAAUUCGAUAAGUGAUCCGAGCUUACGUCAAUAUUUUUUAAAAUGAACAAAUUAAGAUUUUGCAGAGAAGAUCUCAGUAAGGCCAAGCAUCUCAAAAUAUUGCCAAUAAUAUUGGCCAAUAUUUUGAUUAUAUUAGAAGAUCUAAUAAUGAUCUCCCAGAUUAUUAAAUAAUUGCUCCAAUUUAUGCUAGUAGUAGUAGCUUUUUUAAUUUGUGUUAAUUUAAUUUUGUAAUAUGUAAUCUAGUAAUUAAUGUUAUUGGCAUUUUAUUUUUAUUAUUAAUUUUUGUGUUGAAUAUUUUUUUAUUUAAAAUAUUAGUAUAAUAAUAAAAAAUAAAAAAAUAAAAAAAAAUAACAAUAAUAAUAAUAAUUUAAAAUAUUAUAUAAAAUAGGACAUAUAUGUAAAUAAAAAAUAAUAAUAAGGAUAUUUGAGUUUUUUUUUCUAACACUAAAUGAAUAGUAUUGUACCAUAUUUAGUGCAAUAUUAUUCAUAACACUAUUUUAGUAUUGAUUUCGGUAUUACAUGAAAAAAAUAUUUUACACCAAAAUAAUAUAAAAUAUAAUUUAGUGUUAGUUUUAGUGUUACGUUCAAAAUGGCCUAACAUCUCCCACCAUCCUACUAAUCCCAUUUUCUAUUGUUUAAUUUCUCACUCCACAUCCAACGGCUGAUGCAGUCUGUAGCUUACAGAAUCUGUAAGCUAGCAAAGCCCUAUAAAUUAUAAAUAGAGUACAUUAAAUCAAAGUAGCAGAAAAUUCUAGAUUUUCUGUAGCUGGAUUGUGAUUUGUGAUGAAGCAGGGAGGGUGACGCGUAACUGUAAAAGCAGAGUCAAAAAGGAAAGUGGCGAUGGCCUUGUGGGGUCUUAGGCUACUUGGGUACCACGAAAACCGGAUAAACUUUACUCUUGUUUUUGGAAAAAAUAAUAAGAUUCUACCGGAUGAACUUUUAUUUUAUUUUAUUUUACCUUUUUAGUAUUUUGUUAGUUCAUUAAACUCACAGAUAUUUAAUUUGAGAUUUUUUAUUAUGAUUGGGUGAUUAUGUUGUGUUUCAUUUAUUAGCACUAUGUUGCAUUUUUUUUUUCAAUCAGACCUUAUUAGAUCUACUAUGUAGAACAAUUUUUUCUUUUAAUUGUAAAGAAUUGAUAGUAUUGAUAGUUCACUUUUUUAGUAUAUGUUGUUAUUACUGUCAUAAAAAUAUUGAUCACUGGAGUCUUAGAUUCUUCCAUAAUUUAAGUGUUGUAUUUAAAUCUGAUGUAACAUAAUAUAUUAAACCCGAUGGUGUCACUUAUUAUUAUACUUUUGGCCAACUUUAUUUAUUUAAAAAAUUAUUAAUUUCUUUUUGAAAAAAUACAAUUCUACAUUCCACAAAUAUCACAACCAUUGUUUCCACGAACCUUACUUCCCCUGGCACUGUAGCACAUCGCGUAGAAAUUAAGUCAAGCCUUUCUGCUGCCUAUAUAACCAUCCACAUCCCAUGGCCCUCGCCUUAUUGCAGACCAAAUUGGAUAGAAGAAGCUCUUACUGUCUCAUUCUUGUUCUACGUUUCUCCUGCCGUGUGUUGAAUCAGAAAUUAAUGGACAGUCUCGUGGGGUUCAGAUUCCACCCAACUGAUGAAGAAAUUAUUCUUCUCCUGACGAUGAAGAGACGUGACCCUACAGGUUUCUCCGUCCGUACGAUCAAGGAAAUCGAUCUCUACAGCUUUGAGCCCCGGGAGCUACCCUGUAAGUAAUCGUGCCAACCAAGUACUCCGCACGAUGUCUGUUUAAGAUUAAUUAGUUCAGUAACUAGAAUUCAGAAGUUAAUGGAAUAUUUUGUUGCGAUGCAGGCCAUUCUGACAUUCAGUCUGAGGAGGAAGUGUGGUACUUUUUCUGUGAGCCUUGUUACAAAAAUUCCGAGAGUAAACGGGUACAUAGAAGAACAAAGGAAGGCUACUGGAAAAAGACUGGCAGAGGCUCUAACAUCAACCGCAAAUACAAGACUGAGGUGAUUGGUACGAAGAAGUUUUUGUCUUUUUCCCGCGAUGAUGCUGCUGCCCAGAAAAAUAUGACUGAGUGGGUUAUACACGAGAUAGCUGUUGAAGAUAGCCCUGACUUUAAGGUAUUAGCCUCUGUUUUAGAACUGCAUAUGUGUUGUGAAAUAGUCUGUUUGUUUUCGUGAAAAAUAAUUGUAAAAUACUCUGUUCAUGUUAUUGCAGAAGGACUUUGUUGUGUGUCGCCUUGAAAGAAAACGGGAGAAGAAAACGCUUGGUGUUGUUUCCACUAAGAGGAAACGGGAGAAGACGCUUGGUGUUGUUUCCUCUAAGAGAAAACGGGACAAGAAGCUUGGUGUUUCCACCAGCGAUGGUGAUCAAUCUUGUCAAAAUUUGACUUCUAAAAGAAGUCACGUUGCAGAAGAUUCUAAUAGAAAUCAUGUUGCAGAAAAAGUAGAUUUGGUUUCUACUAGGAAUCAUGUUGCAGAAAAUAUUGUUUUGGUCCCUGAACCUCAGGUAAGGGACCAUUCGAUUUCUUGUUACAGAAAUCAUGUUGCAGAAAAUAUCGUCGAAGAUUCUGUUGAGGCAGAAACUCGACGGCUGGCAGAACUCAAUCGACGGGGUGAUGGCUAUGAUGGACGGAAUGACGCCUCUGUCUCGGCUGUGCAGUCAUCAGAUUAUCCAGAACAGGAAUCAUCAGAUUAUAAUGGUUCUAGUUGUGGUAGCGGUUUAUUGAAUUCUCAGUUGGACGGUGAGCAGGUCGGUGGCCAGUGCAAUUCACGGAGGGAUUUUCAGAAUGAAUACUCUCCUGAGGAAACUGGAGAGACCACUCCUGACUUCUUGACAUCGAAGUCAGAUGAAGGAGUUUACGUGGAGGAUGGCAGUGACGCGAACUCUGAAACCGAAUCCUUCAAUGAAUGGGUAAACAUGGUCUUUGACUAUCAAAUCCUCAAGGAGGAUAUUAGAUCAUUAUGAAUGUUGUAAUGUUGCUUCACUUAUGGUGUAUUGUAUUCCAAGCUUUGUAUUCUUUGAGAGUAGUUUUUACACCCAAGAGGUUGUUAAUUUUGUAAACUAAAGGCAAGGCAGCAGGUCCGAGAUCUUCUGGGUUGUCUCAGAAUUCAGAACUUAAUGAGGGGAUCAUGUUACUGUCCAGUAUGCUCAUAGAUUUUGCAAUGUUAUUGCCCAAUCUUUAGCUAAAUCAGCUCUAUAGAAAUGUGAAACUGUUGUUUUGGGCUCGUACCCUUCGCGACUUAUGUACCUAUUUUCUUCUUUGAAUUGAAAGCGUCUUUAUUCUCAGGAAAAAAAAGAUUGUAUUUUUUACAUAUUGGGAAUAUUAGAUAAGCAUGUAGUCUUGCUCAUCAAAGAAAUUUACUGAGUAACUGAAAUAGAAAAUAAAAGAUCCA
This 10559-nucleotide long non-coding RNA is filed under the name Citrus maxima (pomelo). RNAcentral's name for it is "long non-coding RNA (CMAX_LNC002227)". The record is from RNAcentral. Lineage: Eukaryota; Viridiplantae; Streptophyta; Magnoliopsida; Sapindales; Rutaceae.